AGGGAAUCUUGGACAAUGGGCGAAAGCCUGAUCCAGCCAUGCCGCGUGAGUGAUGAAGGCCUUAGGGCUGUAAAGCUCUUUCGCCAGGGAAGAUAAUGACGGUACCUGGAUAAGAAGCCACGGCUAACUUCGUGCCAGCAGCCGCGGUAAUACGAAGGGGGCUAGCGCUGUUCGGAAUUACUGGGCGUAAAGCGCACGUAGGCGGCUUUCCAAGUUGGAGGUGAAAUCCCCGGGCUUAACCCGGGAACUGCCUCCAAAACUGAAAGGCUAGAGUCCGAGAGUGGUGAGUGGAAUUUCCAGUGUAGAGGUGAAAUUCGUAGAUAUUGGAAAGAACACCAGUGGCGAAGGCGGCUCACUGGCUCGGUACUGACGCUGAGGUGCGACAGCGUGGGGAGCAAACA
RNAcentral lists this ribosomal RNA (401 nucleotides) under uncultured bacterium. Its description in RNAcentral is "bacterial SSU rRNA". It matches the Rfam family "Bacterial small subunit ribosomal RNA", at positions 356 to 774 of the family's 1533-position model. The record is from RNAcentral.